GUUUAAAUAGCAAAAAAGUAAUGCCGUAGAUUUAGGAUCCACUAUUAUAGGUGCAACUCCUUUUUUAAACU
This 71-nucleotide transfer RNA is filed under the name Colochirus quadrangularis. RNAcentral describes it as "tRNA-Leu". It matches the Rfam family "tRNA". Rfam says of the family: Transfer RNA (tRNA) molecules are approximately 80 nucleotides in length. Their secondary structure includes four short double-helical elements and three loops (D, anti-codon, and T loops). Lineage: Eukaryota; Metazoa; Echinodermata; Holothuroidea; Dendrochirotida; Cucumariidae. The record is from RNAcentral.